This 8554-nucleotide unclassified non-coding RNA is filed under the name Pectinophora gossypiella (pink bollworm). RNAcentral's name for it is "uncharacterized LOC126379948". The record is from RNAcentral. Lineage: Eukaryota; Metazoa; Arthropoda; Insecta; Lepidoptera; Gelechiidae.
ACAGACCCACAAAAGUUCAAGUUUGGUGUAAAGUGUUGAUAAAUGUGGUUCGAUGACUUAAAAGUGCCGUACAUGUUAGCAGCCAGAAGAUUAUUGUUAAAUGAAGCAAGAUAUUAUCCGUAACACAAGAGGAUUUGAUGCCGCCAGGGAAUAAGGAUUGACCCUCCAGUGCAGCAGACACAGUACCAAAUGGAGAAUAAGAAGGCGGCGCCGGCGACGCAGCAGCCGAUCAGCCAGCAGCACCUGAUGGCGCACCACGUGCACCCCGACCAGAUCUACUCGCCGCAGCCGCCGGCGCAGGUGCACCACGCGCCCGCGCAGCCCGCCGCCGCGCCGCCCAACGGCGUCAUGCACCACCUCAUACAGAGCCAAUACCACUCCAACACCACCGCUCGCUCCCCGCUCCUCGAGAACAGGCACGACGUCUACAGCACAGGCUACACCCAAGAUUACGCGCGGCACUACGGCGCCAACGACAACUACAACUACCCUCAGUCCCCGCCGAGAGACCUGUACAUGGACCACAACGUCAACCAUGAGCUGCUUCACAACAUGCCUAAAGGUUAUAACGCGGAAGUCUACCAAGACUACUUAAAACGCAACCCACCGAAAGAUACCAACCAAAUAUACCAAAAUCAUCAACCCAUGUAUAUGCCUAAUAUGAAUCAGUAUGGUUCGAAGCCAUAUUUACCGUACUCUAAUAGAAUAGGUCCACAGAGCAACACAGAGUUACUGAGGCGGCAGUACAACGAAAUUCAGCAGAUGAAGCUCCAACAGCAGAUGCACUACCAGAACCAGGCUCAGAUGCAGCAGCAACAGAAGUUCGCGGAGAGGCAGCUGCUGCUUCAACAGAUACAUGGAGUCCAGCCACCGCCCAACCUGCAGAAUAGUAUUUACUCUGACGGUUCCUAUCGAGACUUAGAUCAAUAUAGUAGCAAAAAUGAUUUCAAAGAAUAUAGUAGUACUGAUAUACAAAAAGAUAUCGAUAGAUAUGCCAAAAAUAAUGAAUAUAAGGAUACGGAAAAACAAACUAGACAAUAUCAAGAAUCGCAGUGGCCAUCUAACCAACAGACUGAAAUGAGGGAUAUCGAACGAUAUAGGAAACAGUCGGAAGGAGAUAAAGGAAAAUGUCAGUCACCGCCUGAGUUUAAUAACCAGAGUCCAAAAAAUAAUGUCGGCGUAGUGUCGCCGAUGAAGUCUAGCGAGUCGAGUUCACCGAGCGUGAAGUCCCCGUCGUCGGACAGUCGGCGGAGCAGCGGCGGCAACCAGGCGCUGCGCUCACCCAUAGCGCAGAGGGUUCCUUCAGCCCCCGUCACCCUGGCCGGCAUUCUGUACAAGCAAGGUUCCGAUGGACUAAAAGUAUGGAGGAAAAGAUGGUUUGUGCUCUCGGAGUACUGCUUGUUUUAUUAUAAAAGUCAAGACGAAGAAAAACUGUUAGGAUCCGUGUUGUUGCCUUCGUACAAAGUGUCAGCGUGCAGUGCCGAGGAUAAAGUGCUGCGGAAGUUCGCUUUUAAACUGGAGCACGCAAAUAUGCGGACAUACGUGCUGGCGGCGCCCGACCAGGAUGCCAUGAUGAAGUGGGUGAAGGCGCUGACGAUGGCGGCGCUCAUGCAGAGCUCCAAUGAGCAGCCACAAAAGCAGAGUGAGCGGGCAGCUGCAAAAACCGAGGACGGAGAUGAAGUACCCGGGCCUACGUACGCCAAUGCCCCUCCUAAACCGCGUCGAUCCAAUGAAGGCUAUAAUUCACCUAGCCCUGACAUGUACGAUCCAAACUACGAUCUACUCAAAAAGCCCGCCUCACACUACAGUCAAGGCACUAGUCAUAUGCGCCACCAGGACCACACAAACUAUCAAACUAGUCCCAACCAAGAGAGCACGUACUCUUGUAGCCCGCAGUCGCCACCACCACCGGCACAACAACAACAACCUCAGUACCAGACGAAACGAUCCUAUGACACGCAUCACCUCUCUCUACCAUUGACAAACACAAUAACGGACAGAAUAGAACAUCAAAAUCCAAGUACGUCGUCCUUGUACAGGUCUAAUCCUCAGUCACCUUACUUUGAUAAUAGGAAUAGAGGUCAACAGCAAUCACAAGCCCCACAAGAGAAUAAUCAAGAACAGAUAUACGAGAGGCAAGUGAGUCGCAAUCCUUUCUUGCAAGAUUUGACACCACAAGGAGAGACACCAUCUAAAGAGAGCGAACGAACGAAAUUGGAAGAAGAACGAGCGAAAGCACUCUUCAAUGAUUGUUUUGGAGAAUCUCGAGCAAAUGCCAAAUCAAAUGUAGACAUAAAUUCAUACAAUAGAGAAGUGUAUGGAGAACUAAAUACGAGAUCGAACAGAGCUGGCAGUUCAAUUAACGAAAGAUUACUCAUCGAAAGAAGAACUCCUGACGCUUACGGUCGAUCUACGACAAUGUCAGCCUAUAAUAAUAAAGGUAAAGCAGGAGAUUAUGAGGACGUAUACGCAUCAUAUGCUACCGAAAGUGAAUACGGAAAGACGUAUGCACAAUCUCCACCGGACCAGAGACAAACCAGAGACGCUACUAGUAUAUCCAGUCAACAGCAGCCACAAGAUUACGCAGGAAACUACUCUCAAGAGAAAACUUUCAGCGGUCCAUCGGUCUUGAGAAGGAAAAAGAUGCAGUCGAGUGGUAUUCAGCCCCCGAUGCCGAGACCUCACAGCGCCGAUUUCUUGGAGUAUGAGUCUAAAAAUGAGAUGUUGAAUAAGACCAUGCCACCUAGAACAGUUUGCGACCCUCCCAGACAGCCUCAGCGACCGAAAUCUAGUCUUGAUAUUAAUUCGUACUACGAUCCAAGUUCAGACAGAUACUACUCCGAGGAAAGUUACGCAGAAAAAAUGCGUCAGUCAGCCCAGUACCUGCAGCAUGGGAUGAGUCCACGAAAUAUUCAAAUACCUUUGGCAAAGUAUGCUAGUGGAUUAGCUGAAAAGCAAUUGAAUUCACCAUACUCUCAGAUUGCCAAUAACAAUUAUGAGACUGAAUUUGGUAUAACUCGUACAAACCGCGACAAUCUCAGCUAUAAUUCAAAGUAUAGUGACCUGGAGGGUUUGAACUCAAAUUGGACACUGAAAGAGAAAGAAAAUCAAAAGGACUACUUGAACAGGAGUGGUAGCGUCAUGAGCGACAAUUCUAACGCAGGCGGAUUUGCCAAAGAUCUUAGUCGAUUUGAAUCUCCCGCUGAUGGGUUUAUUAGAUCUGCUAGUGCUAGGUUGCCGUCUACAACGACAGAGAAAGAAGGCGAAAAGAAAGUCCAACAGCGGGAGGAGUCAAUGAAGAGGUUGUUAGAGUGGAAGCAAAGGAUGCUUCAGUCGCCGCUGACGAGGAAGAGUACUCCCGCGGCAAUAUCGCUGGCUCGCUCUUUGAACCAAAGUCGACAAUCGCUGAGAUCAGAUCAGUACAAGCCGAAAACGUAUACGAACGCCUCGUACAACAGCUAUUCUUCUGAUGACGAAGCAUCAAUGACGAUGUCAGGCACAAACGUAGAAUUAGGCACAAAUAACACAGCAAAUCAACAAACAUUGUCAAAGAAAGCUUUUCUCGGAAGUAACACCUCUAUUGGAAGAAAUAACAGGGAUGCGAACAUACCUGUGCGGGCUGUUAGCCCGAGGGUCAGAUGGGUUGAGGAGAAAUCACAAAAUGAUCAUUACGGGUCACAGCAGAUGUCUACAUCUCAGCAAAAUUUGAAUACAUUGACACCGAACGAGGAUUCAUGGGCAACAGUCAGGUCUCCGUCAAGAGCCCAGCAGCCAAUAAGGGCUGUCAGUCCUAGAGUCCGAAAGAACACCGAAAACGACGAUUUGCAAAGGGAUCAACAAUCGGGUCAGGGAGAGUUAGCCGAGAUACCGACGGCCGGGGAGCUUCUGGGGCGGACUCAUGAGGAGCUGGUGCUCCUCCUGAUUCAGUUGAGGAGGCGUCACGCGGCCACUCACCGAGCUAUCGAACAAUGCUGUUCCCAAAUCAGUAGUAUAGAGGACUGUCUCAGUUCUCUCAAGGCUAUGCAACGCGAAGAAAGUUUACAACGCUUGGAGCAGUUGAAGAUGCAGCUGAUAGAAUUGGAGCAUCAGUAUGAAAAGAGCAAACCUCUGGUGCAGUUGGUGGAUAACAUGGUGAAACUUGGGUCGCUGUACAAUAGGCCCGGAUCGACCGUGGAGCGAUUGGAGAGAAACCAGAGGCUCCGGCACAAGGUGCUCGCUGAGCAUGCUAUGGAACAACAGAGAUGGUUGGAAAGUGCGGCAGCCGGUAGACCUUUGGAAACUGAGGCAGCCAGGGCAAGAGUGGCUGAGCUUUGGGCAUUGGAGCAAGAAUUGGCUGAUGAGGCGUCCAUACUACAAGGACUGAAGACCGAUAAGGAUACGAUCGAAUCGCUUCUCACUGGAGUGCGUGGGAAGUUGGACAGCGUACCACGAGGCAGUGUGUCAGACUUGACAGCAAGCAACUUGACUACUCAAAUGGCUGGUCAAAUGGCUAGUCAAAUGGACAGUCCAAUGUCUGCACAAAUGCCUAUAGGAGCACCUAGCAUCAACUCCGGAGGGUUGGAGGCAGAACUAGCCAGAGUGCACGCUAUGCUCGCGCACAAUUCUAAGGUUUAUAAGAAAUUGGAGCAAACUGUGGCGGACAACGCUCGGUUGGAGCGUGAGUUGCAGCAACUGCGCCGCGCGUUGCAGGCGCGCCGCGCAGCCGCGCCACAUCCACCACAUGCCACGCAUCCCACCGCCAUGCUUGAAGAUGAAGUGACGCGAGUGCAGCAACUGGUGACGGCACUGCAGCGUCAGCGACAGGAGCUCAGUCGCGCUGUGCGACACCUCACGCAACAGUCGCACGCCUUGCAGUCUACACACGACACCCUGCCCGGAAAACGUAGACCAACUUCGUCAUGGCAGGAAACGAACCUGGAUACGGGUUUGACUAUAGAUCAUGGGCACUCAGAGUACUACGAGAUGCCUGGGCAGGUGCUUCCGCCGGGCCACUACAAUAACAUGGAGACUCCACUGUACGUCGACACCAGGGUCACCAGCACCGACAUCACAUCGCCCAUCACCAGCGAAGAUAUGCAACACAGCAGUUUUGCGAACCUGUCGAACGUGGAGAAGCAGGAGAUCAAAACUGUCCGCAUCGUCAAGCGCGAGAGCGAGCGUCGACAGCGGGACAGGGAACGUUCCCUUCAGCCCAUGUCGGACUGGCCUGCCAACAACAUCACCGCCAACCUCGACCACUUCCUCGAGGAAGAACUCGUGCAGUCCAACAACUACUCCAGGUCCGCUUCUUUACCGCGCACGGACUUCAGCAAAUUCGAGGAAUACUACUCCAAGCCCCAACCUCCCGAGCCGCCGAAUUAUCUGCGCCUCAAUGACAAGAACAUGGAACUGAGUCCGAAAUACCCAUCGAGUCCUUCGCUGUCCAACUAUGACUACUCACGGGAUAUCUCUUCAUUGAGCAGCAGCUACAAUAAGAGCUACGACAGGUCCGGAUAUGACAGGACGAUUUCAUUGUCGACUCAGUAUUUGAAUAGCCCGACCGACAGCGCUAAGACUUUGACGAACGACCCGCUGUCGAAGACUAGUAGCGUGGUGAGUCUGACUCGCUCACAUAUGGAGUUGUCUCCUAUAUUCAAGAGCGAGGCAGCAAAGCAGAUCAUCACGGAGAUGUCCGGGGACGGACCGAAGACGGGGUCGCUGCACCGGCGGCAGGUGCCGAAGGAGAAGCGACGACACUACACUGCCCCGCACCACCUUAGUGCGAAGACGCUCAAUGAAAUGCCCAAGGAUGCUUACAAUCAGGACAAGAUGGGUAGAUCGUUGGACGAUGCGGAUAUGGAGCGUGCGCUGCGGUCCGCGCCUGCGCCGGACGUGGUUAGGUCUGCGUUGCCCACACGCUACGCUGACUCUAUCGACCAGCUGCUAGCCGCGCCACAGAAGAUCCUCAUUCCGGAACGAUAUAUCCCAGAAAAGCCUCCAGAACUAUCGCCGGAGGAGCAACAAAAGCGUCAGGAAAAGGUCGAGUCUAUCAAGAAAAUGCUCACCAGUUCUUCAGCUGAUCCCAGCAAGAGUCCGGAUGGGGAAGAGAAGCGGCAGCGCGAACACUUGCUGCAGAUGAACCAGAUCCUCGCCAAGCAGGUCACCGAAAUGAGCAAAAUCAUCGCUGGAACCAACACUGACCAAGGGCCGUCCACCAACUGAUUGGCCAUUCACUUACAUUAGCACCACCCGCACCGACCCCCUAUAACUCAGUCUAAUAUACACCCCUCCAAUGUUACCGCUAGAUGUAGCUCUGCUCCCAAAACCUCCAAAUUCAACGGCAUUUUGAAACUUUCAAUCCUUACCUUUAAAAUACCUUUGUAAGUAAAUCGGCUAGCACGAGACGGUCCUUUAGAAGACAUCUGGUAUCCAGUGUUGCAGCAUGGUUUCGUUUUUGCAUUUUGUUUGAAAGCGUUGGAAGAGCUGCCACUACAGGACGGGAACGGUGAUCUGGACGACCGCUCGCCCGACGUCGAGUUGCCGAUAUACCAGCAAAGAGAUAAUUUCUUUUCAUAAACUCUGUCUUGACUAAGCAACAGAUCCACACCACAACAAAUAAUGGUUCUUAAUGGUAAAGGAUACGAUUUUUCAAGGCAAUGAUUUCAAUUGAAUUUGAGGUAUAUUUCCUAUACUAUGUUACUGUGGUUUUCGUCAUCGAAUAAAUGUAACAUUUCUAGAUUGUUAGCACAAAUUAGUGGCUAACACAAUACCUUUCUUUGGCAAUGUUUAAAACCUAUCUAUUGAUAGCGGAAUAUACGUAUAAAGAUAAAACUUUCUGGGCUUUAAAGUAUUGUUAACUAUAUAAAAGUAGAAAGUUCAAUUAAUAGAGUAACGGUUUUUAAUCUAUACUAAACUUUAUAGGUGAAUUUGUAUGUACCUAAUAGAGUGUCUAUUAUUUAUUUGGGAUCAGUAUAUUAUAAAGAUCCGUUUAGAUAUUGCCAAAAUUAAUCCAAAAAGUAAUGAAUUAGUUCUUUGUACUGCAAUUGAUAUUUUAGUAAAGUUUUAUGUUGAAAGUCAAUUAACUUGGCACCACUAGUUGCCUUUCUGAUCAAUUACUAUGAUGUUGAUUGGUGCACCGUCUAAAGACUCCCAGUUCGUACCUCAAGUACAUAUAUCCUACGUACGGUAGAGGAGACUUGGCCAAGCUGCAAAUGAUUACGAAAAAACGCCUGUUAUACGAUUAAAAUAUGUGGGAUUGAUGUCACCAAAAGGUAUAAGGGGGAUACACACCUACAUAAUUUUCCUUAUUUUGUAAUUAAAAAGUGCUAGUAAAAGUAAAGGAAAGAAAUCAAAUAUUAAGGAGUUAUUCAGGACAGAUGAGGCAAGACGAUUGGAUACUUAAUAUGACACGACGAAUGUAUUAAAAACAUUAUAGAAGGGAAGAUAGAAGACCAAGAAGAGCUUACAGAGAAGGCGAACGUCGUGUCUUAUAAGGACGUUAAAUAAUUGGCCCUUGAUAGACAAAAAUGGAGAGUGCUACAACCGACAAGAGUGUGGCUCCUAAAUUCAUGAUGAUGAUAUUUUUCGUAUCGCUGGCAACUUGGCUACGGACCCUGUAUUAUCCAUGCUUUGCUUCGCACAUAUCUUAUAUACCAUAUCUAUAGCGUAUGUAAUGUUCGUGUGCUUUACACUUACCUAUAUCAAUAGAGGUUUGAUAGUUUCCUUAGCGUUUGCUCAAUUUUAUCAACAUUCCCUCAAUAAUACAACUAGGAAUAUUGUAGUUAUUUCACAUUUUAUACGAAAAGCGACUGCGGCAUAUUUUAGGCCAGUUUACUUAAUAAAUGAACAAUGAAGAAAUCUUUUCGUAACCACUAAUAUAUAAUGUCUUCUAUAUAAAGGGCCUUGAAUUGUUAUUUUAGAUGUAAGGUACGUGGCGACUACGCAAUAUAUAGUAAAAUUUAUUUAGAUGUGUUUUAAGACGAUGCCAUGUUAAUAAAUUUUAGUCCAUAGUAAAAGCACAUUUAAUUAGAUGUUUUAUCGUCUAUUUUUAUUGUACUUUUCUUAGUUUAACAAAACGAAUGUCAAUGCGUUUUAGUAUUAUUUCGUUUAAAUUACUGUGUAUUUUUGGUGUAUAUUACUUUACGUUAUAAUCUGUUCAGUAAGUACCUUAUUUUGAACAAUUACUUUGUAAUUUAACUUUGUUUAUUAGGUAACAUUAUAUUAUAAGUUGAUCAUGAUAUCAGAGCGCCCUGUGACAAAAUCGAACAAUGAGUACAACAUGAGAAUUUGAAAAACAAGUCUUCGAUUAUGCCAUCGUGUGCGGUUAUACAUAGCCUUACGUGCACAUUAUUAUGUAGUUUGUCAAUUUUAGGUAGGAACCUUAUAAACUUAGAACUUCUUAUGAAUAUUAACAAAAUAUUUAUUAACAUAAAUGUGUGUAACCUUGACUGUCUCCCGUCAUAACUCAAGCAACGAGUCUGUAGUAUUUGUGAUUUGAUAUACUUACUUGUUAUGUACACACUCACCGAUUAAUUCUUAUUUUGUAAUAAAAUAUUACCCAUCCUAUCGCUCAUGA